CCGGAUUUGAUGGCUGCUGGGGUCGAGGGGGUCGCUGUGGUUCCUGUUUAUUUCCUCUGGCAGUGGUUUUCUAAUUUAAGCACCUCUGUCUCCUGGCUACAGUAGCCUGCUGUGAUGCAGAGUUGGGGAGGGGGGGAGGCGGAAGAAAAAGGAGGAUGGUGGUGGCAUGCCCCGUAGCUACUAAGCCUGGUGCCUAAAAAGGGCAUGCUGGGUUUUAAUCGGUACACCUCUGUGUGCACCACCCAGGCUGACUUUACUCUUUGUGUUUUCUUUGUAGAGGCAUCUGCUGUGCAGAAGCAACACAGAGUGAAGGUCUUUUCUUUUGUUACCGGCACUGAAAGGUCCUCCAUCAAGAUUUCUCUAUCAAUUCAAGUGUAAAAACAAUACUUCUCGGUGGUGAUCCAGUGAGUGGGGAACUAUUUCGCCUUAUACUCACAUUAGUCUCCACGUAGUCCAUCUUCUCCUGUCUCAGUUGAAGAAUCACCAGUGUGUCAUAAUCCCAAGGACGAAAAGUAUAGAGAUACAGAAAGCAAAUCGGAAACAGGAAGAACGGUGAUCCAAACCAUACGGCUUGGUGUAGCAGCUGGUGUUGUGAAUCAGGCCGUUGCCAAAGAGAGAACGGCUACUUCACAACACCAGGGUUGCCCCCUGCCACAAUCAACUGCCCUACAGAAGGAAGCCACCCUGCAUCUAUGAGAAAUGAAAGAUGGAUGGAUUCAACUUCACUGUGGAACAUUUAUGACCUAUUUCAAAAGGAAAGGGUGCUUUUUGCUAAAAUAGCAACCUUCCAAGGCUCCACUAAUUGUUCGUUAAUGUAUAUAAUUGUUAGCCUGUUCUCCUGGACUUGAGUGAGUACAGAUAUGCUUAAAGACACUUAAAAGACUAUGUGCCUGUAUACUGAAUAUAUACAUGUUUGCUAGUAAACAAG
Long non-coding RNA from Anolis sagrei ordinatus, 928 nucleotides. RefSeq lists it as uncharacterized. The record is from RefSeq and is a predicted model, not a curated record. NCBI's taxonomy places the organism in Eukaryota, Metazoa, Chordata, Lepidosauria, Squamata, Anolidae.